GGUUUAAGAGUUUGCUGUUAAGUUCCGAAAGUUUAGCUUUUGUAAUUUCUAAGGAUGUGUCGAGUUCUGUGAAGUUGUCAAACGUCAUAAUAGUGUCACGUAUAUGUUUAAUGUUUAGUUCGCAAUUGUCCAGUCGUACAAUAUGAAUCAGGUUGUAAUAUGAAGUGAUUAGUCGUGCCGUUCCUAGUCGAAUUGAGCCCGCGAUGGUUAGUUACAGCGAUUCGAAAGUAGAAAUGGUAUCUAUAAAAAAAAUAUAUCGGGAAGAAGUGCAGCAAUCGAGAAGCGUUACCUGAGUACGAAAUACAUAUAACGUAACGUACAGUCCGUUGGAUACGAUGCAAGGAACAUCAACGAAAAUGGAUAAAUUAAAACACCUGCUGAGGGCGAAUAAGAAAACAAACUCAAUUUGCGUACGCAAAAUUGAAAACAAUAC
RNAcentral lists this long non-coding RNA (433 nucleotides) under Hermetia illucens (black soldier fly). RNAcentral describes it as "uncharacterized LOC119649318, transcript variant X1". Lineage: Eukaryota; Metazoa; Arthropoda; Insecta; Diptera; Stratiomyidae. The record is from RNAcentral.